UGGUUGACCUCGAAUCAGGUAGGACUACCCGCUGAACUUAAGCAUAU
RNAcentral lists this ribosomal RNA (47 nucleotides) under Calonectria pseudonaviculata. RNAcentral's name for it is "partial 28S ribosomal RNA". The record is from RNAcentral. Lineage: Eukaryota; Fungi; Ascomycota; Sordariomycetes; Hypocreales; Nectriaceae.